UGGGGAAUUUUGGACAAUGGGCGAAAGCCUGAUCCAGCAAUGCCGCGUGUGUGAAGAAGGCCUUCGGGUUGUAAAGCACUUUUGUCCGGAAAGAAAUCCUUGGCUCUAAUACAGUCGGGGGAUGACGGUACCGGAAGAAUAAGCACCGGCUAACUACGUGCCAGCAGCCGCGGUAAUACGUAGGGUGCAAGCGUUAAUCGGAAUUACUGGGCGUAAAGCGUGCGCAGGCGGUUUGCUAAGACCGAUGUGAAAUCCCCGGGCUCAACCUGGGGACUGCAUUGGUGACUGGCAGGCUAGAGUAUGGCAGAGGGGGGUAGAAUUCCACGUGUAGCAGUGAAAUGCGUAGAGAUGUGGAGGAAUACCGAUGGCGAAGGCAGCCCCCUGGGCCAAUACUAGACUCAUGCACGAAAGCGUGGGGAGCAAACAGGAUUAGAUACCCUGGUAGUCCACGCCCUAAACGAUGUCAACUAGUUGUUGGGGAUUCAUUUCCUUAGUAACGUAGCUAACGCGUGAAGUUGACCGCCU
RNAcentral lists this ribosomal RNA (525 nucleotides) under uncultured bacterium. Its description in RNAcentral is "partial 16S ribosomal RNA". It matches the Rfam family "Bacterial small subunit ribosomal RNA", at positions 355 to 874 of the family's 1533-position model. The record is from RNAcentral.